CUGUGUGUAGCUCAGCGGCACAGCAUCUGUCUAGCAAGCACAGGAUCCUGAGUUCAAUUCCCAGUACCAGA
RNAcentral lists this transfer RNA (71 nucleotides) under Cavia porcellus (domestic guinea pig). It matches the Rfam family "tRNA". From Rfam's summary of the family: Transfer RNA (tRNA) molecules are approximately 80 nucleotides in length. Lineage: Eukaryota; Metazoa; Chordata; Mammalia; Rodentia; Caviidae. The record is from Rfam by way of RNAcentral.